Molecule: ribosomal RNA, 567 nt
Filed under: uncultured bacterium
Lineage: Bacteria
Description: partial 16S ribosomal RNA
Rfam family: Bacterial small subunit ribosomal RNA
Source: RNAcentral
UGGGGAAUUUUGGACAAUGGGGGAAACCCUGAUCCAGCCAUCCCGCGUGUGCGAUGAAGGCCUUCGGGUUGUAAAGCACUUUUGGCAGGAAAGAAACGUCGCGGGUUAAUACCCCGCGAAACUGACGGUACCUGCAGAAUAAGCACCGGCUAACUACGUGCCAGCAGCCGCGGUAAUACGUAGGGUGCAAGCGUUAAUCGGAAUUACUGGGCGUAAAGCGUGCGCAGGCGGUUCGGAAAGAAAGAUGUGAAAUCCCAGAGCUUAACUUUGGAACUGCAUUUUUAACUACCGGGCUAGAGUGUGUCAGAGGGAGGUGGAAUUCCGCGUGUAGCAGUGAAAUGCGUAGAUAUGCGGAGGAACACCGAUGGCGAAGGCAGCCUCCUGGGAUAACACUGACGCUCAUGCACGAAAGCGUGGGGAGCAAACAGGAUUAGAUACCCUGGUAGUCCACGCCCUAAACGAUGUCAACUAGCUGUUGGGGGCCUUCGGGCCUUGGUAGCGCAGCUAACGCGUGAAGUUGACCGCCUGGGGAGUACGGUCGCAAGAUUAAAACUCAAAGGAAUUGAC